RNAcentral lists this ribosomal RNA (408 nucleotides) under Triticum aestivum (bread wheat). Its description in RNAcentral is "partial small subunit ribosomal RNA". Lineage: Eukaryota; Viridiplantae; Streptophyta; Magnoliopsida; Poales; Poaceae. The record is from RNAcentral.
AUGUUUAGUGCCGUCUGCAGGAAUUCAGAAGGCAUCUUCAUGGGAUCGUCGGCCAUCAGAUGCCAUGGAGUUACAGACCCGACAACUCUCGAAGCUCUUGCUUGUAGAGAGGCACUUGCGCUGGAACAAGAUCUUGCAUUAUCGCAUAUUGUCAUAGCUUCUGAUUGCCAGGGGGUGGUUUGCGAUAUUGGUCAAGGUUGUGGAGGAACGUAUGCUAGCAUCGUAAAGGAAGUUACGGCUACUUCUGCGCAAUUUCAGCAUUGUACCUUCAUCUUUGAGGGUCAUGAGACUAAUCAAGAGGCACAUAGCCUCGCCAAACAUGCUUUUGGACUCGGUUUAGGACGCCAUGUGUGGCUUCUAAAUCCUCCAAAUUUAAGUUGUAUCCCCAUGAACAUUUUAGUUGAAUAA